CUGAGCGGGACUCGAACGUGAGGUUGGGGCGCCCUUGGCGUUCGCUCGCCUGGGUGUUGGCCGCUAGCGGGCCCGUCCCUUCUCACCCCUUGCUCGGGGAUGUCCUGGGGCAGCUGUCGAACCCGUGUUGGGCCAGCUUUCGAACCCCUGGACCGUAUUGGGCCGUAGGGGCGUUUUCAGCCCUGUAUCCCUUUCUUACCUCCCUAUGGGCCUUGGACCGGAGCGGAGCGGUUGAUGUGCCAGGGCCGAUCGUGGGGAGCGUCGUGGGCGCGAAGCCCGGGGAGUGGAGUUAUGGAAGCGCCGUCCCGCGGAUCGAGGAAGAUAGGAUGUUUCUCCGCGGCCGAUCGUGCGUGCGAUUUUCGAAAGGAAACGGGCGUGGCAGGGGCG
Molecule: long non-coding RNA, 387 nt
Filed under: Setaria viridis
Lineage: Eukaryota; Viridiplantae; Streptophyta; Magnoliopsida; Poales; Poaceae
Description: long non-coding RNA (SVIR_LNC000943)
Source: RNAcentral